CAAAAAAGGCCUAAGAAACAGCAACACACCAAGUCCUUUUUGUUUUUCUUCUGCAAUUUUUUCAUCGAUUGCUGGCUAUUGUAAUCAUGAGUCUCUACUAGUCAUCAUUACCAUGAGAAGCCUCUCUCUCUCUCUCUUGCAGAUACAAACACAAUCUCCAGCUAUAUAAACUUGCAUCUAUGCUAUCAUAAAAAUCCAGGAAACUCUACCUCUUAUGUUCUUUCUCUCUCAAUCUCUCUUACAUAUAUACCCAAAACAAGUAGAUACCAAGAUGUGCAAUAACAUUUCAAUAUCAACUCCAUUAAUGCGAAAAAACGUUCGAGUUCACUGCCUCAAAAGAAGGAAAAGAUUCACAAGAGAAGCAAGAGAGAAGGGAAUGGCUGGUGAGAGGAAAACGAUGGAAAUAAAGAAUUUAAAGCUGUACGAGGAGAACCAGAUCUUCAUGAGAGAAAAUGAAAGGCUGAGGAAGAAAGCUCUUCUUCUCCACCAAGAGAAUCAAGAGUUGUUAUAUCAGCUUAAAAACAAGUACUCUGUUCCUAAGACACACAUGGCUCACAGCAGCAGCAGCAUCUAACAAGAAGAGGAAAAACAAGGAAUUAAGAGGCUCUACUUUCUUUGAUUAUUGAGUAGAAGCAUAGAGAUUUCUCGUUUCUUAAUGUUUUUUCUACCAAAAAAUUCGAUGAUGGUAGGAAUAGGGGGGGGUGGUGUUGUUCUUUUUGGGAUAAGGAAAAGUACGGUUAUCCUUUUGGUGUUAUGUGUAUGAAAUCGAAUAAUAGAGUGGGAGUUGACAUGAAAAUGUUCAUGUGCAAUUGGAUAAAAAGUUUUAG
Tripterygium wilfordii is the source of this 827-nucleotide long non-coding RNA. RefSeq lists it as uncharacterized. The transcript is spliced from 2 exons. Lineage: Eukaryota; Viridiplantae; Streptophyta; Magnoliopsida; Celastrales; Celastraceae. The record is from RefSeq and is a predicted model, not a curated record.